CACUUUGAAGUUGGACUUGUUUAUGCUUAGGAAAAAAUUACAAUGCCAGUCAGGAGACUUCUGUCAGUUAUCUGUUUUCAAAUGGAUUUGAAAGUUAUGUGGGUUUUGAAACAAUUGGAUUAUAAGUUUAAGCUUGUGGAUAUGUUUCGUAUGUAUAUGGAUCCAGGAAUAACUUGAAAUGGAGGUGACCAUUUUGCCUUGACAGUAAGGAAGUUAAAUGAGUAGCAGAUAACCUUCAAGAAUAUGAAUACACAUUACAUACAUUCGUUAAUUACAAAUAAUCAAGCAAGAUAAUGAAAACCAAGUCAUAUUUCUUCAGCAUCUAUCCACAAGUUGUGGAAUAUGAGGUGCUAGAUUAAAUAGGAAAUGUUUGAGGAAACUUUAUCAUUAUGGCAACAAACGAUAUGUUUUAAUUUAGUAUGAAAUGGUUGAUUAAAGUGGGCAAAACAUAUACAUGUACUGAAAUUUUUUUUUAAUUUAUUAUGAUUUUAAUUAAAUUCUGAACUUUAGAUGAAUUUUUCUUUUGCAUAAAAUUGAGAAUGGAAAUGGGGAAUGUGUCAAAGAGACAACAACCCGACCAUAGAAAAAACAACAGCAGAAGGUCACCAACAGGUCUUCAAUGUAGCGAGAAAUUCCCACACCCGGUGGCAUUCAAUGGAUGAAUUUAUUAAUUUCAGUGCAAUCUUUGAACAUAUAUAUAUAUAUAUAUAUAUAUAUAAAAUGUACUAUUUUCUUUGUUACUAUAUAAAAGUUUACAUUUUAUUUUAUUAGAAAAAUGAUAAUAUACAUGAAAACAUCAUUAUUAAAAACACAAUACAAAAACGUUCUUCUUCAAAACACUUUAGAGCAAAGACCAGAUAAGAUAAAUGAAUUCAUAGAAGAAUUAACAAUGUGGAAGGAAAAAAAAUACCAGCUUUAAAAUGACAGAAAUAAACAAAUCAAAGCUUGUAAUAUGAUUUGAGAGUCCUUAAUGUCCUUAAUUCAAGACCCAAUGUUUAGGUUGGUUUUUUUGUUAGCCUUCUGUGUUAGGUUGCUGACUCGUUACAAAUCUUCUACUAAAAACAAACAAUAACUGCUACAUGUACUAUGUUACUAAGUGGUAACAUGAUACGUCAGUAUUUUUUAGGCUAAACAAAAAUGAUAAUAAAAUUGCAUUUGAGUUAAAGAUAUUAUUAAAAACUUCCCUUUUCGAUUAAAAACAUAUUUUUUAUGCACUCGUUUAACUUUUAACAUAUGCUUUCUGAGGCAUAAAAAUCUGCAUUUUGUAAACAUGAUAAAAUGUAAAUUACUGAACUUAGAUGAACUUGCAUCAAAUUAUCUUUGGUUCAUAUGCAUAAGAAAUUUUAUCAUCGCUGCAUAUUAAAGUUACCUGUAAGCAAUAGCGGUGAUGAAGUCACCUUGGUUUGGUGUAGAUAUUGAUGAAACAAGAAUGUGUCACUGUAGUCAACACAUGUUACUACUUUGUAAGAUAGGGGAAGAACUAUUUCUUUUCUAUUUUUACAAAUUUUCUAAAGGUUAAAGUUUGCGUUUGAUUUGUAAAUACAAUUAUUUAUUUAUUUUGAAGAAGAAAAAAAAAUGGAAGGGGAGGGAAAGCAGACAGCUAGAUUAUAGUAACUAUGGUAUAGCUUCUGUAAAUAUCAUUCUAUCACCAGUUACCUUUGGCAUGAAACAUAUUUUACCGCAGAUGCAGAUCCAAAUGUUGAAUCGCUCAGUGAACCUCUAUUUAUCUGCCCCUGAUGAGCAAUGACAGAGAAUUAUUAUAAUUCAUCACCAGAAUUUGCUGCUGGCAUUUGAUAAAAUCCAAAUCAAAGGAAAACAGUAUUUUUUAUUGCUGUUCUUUAUCUUAAAGUAACAGUGCAAUAUUGAGUAAAAUCUCACACAUCAUUGCAAAUUUUAGACUGCCUCAAGAACCAUUUUGGUUACUGUCGAUAAUCAUAGAAAAAUACUGCAUAUGAUCUUGGUCACUGUGCAACUUAAAAUAGACUUUCAUUAUUACACAGCAUAACAUUUUAAAGGAGAGUGGUUUUCAUAAGGGGCUGAUUCCUGCUUUAAUUUUAUAUACUCUUUUGGAUGUAAUAUAUGUGGAAUGUGUCUAGACUGGAUAAAUAUGAUUUUACUCUGAUUCCUGGUUCACAGUUAAAUGAUCAUUCAAUUUUAAGAAUGAAACCAUCCAAUGCAUAUUCAUUGUGUGAUAAACAGUAUUUGAUAAUCGUUUAGUGCCAUUAAGAUUGUGAAAUAUAAAUAUGCAUUAAGUUCAUCAUUAUGGUAUGAACAUAGCAUUAAUCUAAAUAUUCUGCUAAGUCUCAAGAAUAAUUAGCUUACAAUAAAUAGUUAUCAGAUAUUAAAUUAUACCUAAGAAUUCAUAUUUUAUCAUUGUAUCUUAUUGUAUGUUAUUACUUACAGAAUAUUGUUAAAGAAAUGGAACAGAAAGAUAAUGAUUUUUAUUAGGUAUAAAUUAAUUUUAUUAAAGAUUUUGUAUGAAAAUAUAAAGACACAUUCUAAGGAUAUAUUUGGUCUGUGAAUGGAAACCUAUAAAUAAUACAGUAGGAACCGACUAACAUAACUAUUUUGUUCUUUUGGCAGCUGAUGGGCUCUUGAAAAAGAAAGAGAAAAUCAUAAAGAUUUGAAGCACUUUAGUUUAUUGCAUGGUUUGUUGUUAGAUGUCAGGAAAAUAUUCUGGGGAAUGCCAUUUUAUUCCACUCACAGAACUUACUGAAAGAAGAUCUUUGCAAAGCUUAACCACUUAAAACGUAAUGAGCCACACAUGUUCAGAAUCAAGAGGAUGGUACAAAAAACUUCUUUAGUUUUAAAAUUUAUUUACAAAAUUUACACACCAACUCAACACUAUUAGGCUAGAAUUUCAGUUGUAGAAUGUUAUAAACGAAAGUGUCACUGUAGUAAAAACAUCAAAGC
Molecule: long non-coding RNA, 2913 nt
Filed under: Mytilus galloprovincialis (Mediterranean mussel)
Lineage: Eukaryota; Metazoa; Mollusca; Bivalvia; Mytilida; Mytilidae
Source: RNAcentral